RNAcentral lists this ribosomal RNA (236 nucleotides) under uncultured bacterium. Its description in RNAcentral is "partial 16S ribosomal RNA". It matches the Rfam family "Bacterial small subunit ribosomal RNA", at positions 99 to 334 of the family's 1533-position model. The record is from RNAcentral.
CGGACGGGUGAGUAACGCGUGGGUAACCUGCCUUGUACUGGGGGACGAACAGUUGGAAACGACUGCUAAUACCGCAUAAGCGCACAGCUUCGCAUGAAGCAGUGUGAAAAACUCCGGUGGUACAAGAUGGACCCGCGUCUGAUUAGCUGGUUGGUGAGGUAACGGCCCACCAAGGCGACGAUCAGUAGCCGGCCUGAGAGGGUGAACGGCCACAUUGGGACUGAGACACGGCCCAA